Molecule: ribosomal RNA, 289 nt
Filed under: unidentified marine bacterioplankton
Lineage: Bacteria
Description: partial 16S ribosomal RNA
Rfam family: Bacterial small subunit ribosomal RNA
Source: RNAcentral
CAAGUCGAACGGAAAUAAAGGAGCUUGCUCCUUUAAAUUAGUGGCGAACGGGUGAGUAACACGUGGGUAAUCUGCCCCAAUGACCGGGACAACCCGAGGAAACUCGGGCUAAUACCGGAUGUGGUGCACAGGCAUAAGCCCGUGUACUAAAGGUAGCUUCGGCUUCCGCAUUGGAGGGGCCCGCGGCCCAUUAGCUUGUUGGUGGGGUCAAGGCCUACCAAGGCAACGAUGGGUAGCUGGUCUGAGAGGACGAUCAGCCACACUGGGACUGAGACACGGCCCAGACUCC